GAUGAAGAACGUAGUGAAAUGCGAUACUUGGUGUGAAUUGCAGAAUCCCGUGAACCAUUGAGUCUUUGAACGCAAGUUGCGCCCGAAGCCGUUAGGCUGAGGGCACGCCUGCCUGGGUGUCACACAUCGUUGCCCCAAUGCCAAUCGCCUCACUUUGUAGGUAUUUGCUUGGGGUGAAUGUUGGCCUCCCGUGAGCUUUGUCUCACGGUUGGUUGAAAAUCGAGUGCAUGGUGUCGGGUGUACCAUGAUGGAUGGUGGUUGAGUGAUGAUGCUCGAGACCAAUCAUGGGUAACUCCACCAGAAUUGGGCUCGGUGACCCACAUGCGUCCCUUGGAUGCUCCCUAAGGAGACCUCAGGUCAGGCGGGGCUACCCGCUGAGUUUAAGCAUAUCAAUAAGCGGAGGA
RNAcentral lists this unclassified non-coding RNA (404 nucleotides) under soil metagenome. RNAcentral describes it as "partial contains 5.8S ribosomal RNA, internal transcribed spacer 2, and large subunit ribosomal RNA". The stretch from base 1 to 122 matches the Rfam family "5.8S ribosomal RNA", at positions 35 to 154 of the family's 154-position model. The record is from RNAcentral.